GAUGAACGCUGGCGGCGUGCCUAAUACAUGCAAGUCGAGCGAACGGACGAGAAGCUUGCUUCUCUGAUGUUAGCGGCGGACGGGUGAGUAACACGUGGAUAACCUACCUAUAAGACUGGGAUAACUUCGGGAAACCGUAGCUAAUACCGGAUAAUAUUUUGAACCGCAUGGUUCAAAAGUGAAAGACGGUCUUGCUGUCACUUAUAGAUGGAUCCGCGCUGCAUUAGCUAGUUGGUAAGGUAACGGCUUACCAAGGCAACGAUGCAUAGCCGACCUGAGAGGGUGAUCGGCCACACUGGAACUGAGACACGGUCCAGACUCCUACGGGAGGCAGCAGUAGGGAAUCUUCCGCAAUGGGCGAAAGCCUGACGGAGCCACGCCGCGUGAGUGAUCAAGGUCUUCGGAUCGUAAAACUCUGUUAUUAGGGAAGAACAUAUGUGUAAGUAACUGUGCACAUCUUGACGGUACCUAAUCAGAAAGCCACGGCUAACUACGUG
This 497-nucleotide ribosomal RNA is filed under the name uncultured bacterium. Its description in RNAcentral is "partial 16S ribosomal RNA". It matches the Rfam family "Bacterial small subunit ribosomal RNA", at positions 28 to 507 of the family's 1533-position model. The record is from RNAcentral.